Molecule: long non-coding RNA, 466 nt
Filed under: Paramuricea clavata
Lineage: Eukaryota; Metazoa; Cnidaria; Anthozoa; Malacalcyonacea; Plexauridae
Source: RNAcentral
UCGCCCGGUGUGGAUAUGCACUCAGAGUAACAUCGCAAACAUAAUAUAAGAAUUAUUCAGGAAAAUCUUAAGUCGCGGUACCUUUACGCUUUUGAGUUAUGUUCCUGCUGGUUUUAAGAUAUAUUUAUGAAAAUAUCAUUUUUAUAUAGUAAAAUAGUUGUUCUAAAAAAUUGUGUUCGGAAAUUUUUGUUUAUUUCGUCAUUCCGCUGAUAUGGCGAUUUCUUUGACGAUUGCAAUAUAUUUCUGAAUCGUUUGUGUGAAUUGCUCCUUAUUAUUAAAAUAUCCAAAAUUAGAACAAAGCCGAACACAAUUUUGAAACUGACGUCUUUAGCUGUGUCCUGUGAAAAUUUGAGAAAAAUGCGUUAAAAUCCGCAGGAGAACAACUCGUUUAGAAAUCAGUAAUUGCCGUAAAAUUCUUCGGGAAAAAAUUGAAUUUGAAUAUUACAUUUUCAAUGUAAGUUUUCUU